AAGGUGGCCUGUGAGGGUUGCUGGAGGUAUCAGAAGUGCGAAUGCUGACAUAAGUAACGAUAAAGCGGGUGAAAAGCCCGCUCGCCGGAAGACCAAGGGUUCCUGUCCAACGUUAAUCGGGGCAGGGUGAGUCGACCCCUAAGGCGAGGCCGAAAGGCGUAGUCGAUGGGAAACGGGUUAAUAUUCCCGUACUUGGUGUUACUGCGAAGGGGGGACGGAGAAGGCUAUGUUGGCCGGGCGACGGUUGUCCCGGUUUAAGCGUGUAGGUGUGUGUUCCAGGUAAAUCCGGUUCACUUUAACACUGAGGCGUGAUGACGAGGCACUACGGUGCUGAAGCAACAAAUGCCCUGCUUCCAGGAAAAGCCUCUAAGCAUCAGGUAACAUCAAAUCGUACCCCAAACCGACACAGGUGGUCAGGUAGAGAAUACCAAGGCGCUUGAGAGAACUCGGGUGAAGGAACUAGGCAAAAUGGUGCCGUAACUUCGGGAGAAGGCACGCUGACAUGUAGGUGAAGUGAUUUACUCAUGGAGCUGAAGUCAGUCGAAGAUACCAGCUGGCUGCAACUGUUUAUUAAAAACACAGCACUGUGCAAACACGAAAGUGGACGUAUACGGUGUGACGCCUGCCCGGUGCCGGAAGGUUAAUUGAUGGGGUCAGCGCAAGCGAAGCUCCUGAUCGAAGCCCCGGUAAACGGCGGCCGUAACUAUAACGGUCCUAAGGUAGCGAAAUUCCUUGUCGGGUAAGUUCCGACCUGCACGAAUGGCGUAAUGAUGGCCAGGCUGUCUCCACCCGAGACUCAGUGAAAUUGAACUCGCUGUGAAGAUGCAGUGUACCCGCGGCAAGACGGAAAGACCCCGUGAACCUUUACUAUAGCUUGACACUGAACAUUGAGCCUUGAUGUGUAGGAUAGGUGGGAGGCUUUGAAGUGUGGACGCCAGUCUGCAUGGAGCCGACCUUGAAAUACCACCCUUUAAUGUUUGAUGUUCUAACGUGGACCCGUGAUCCGGGUUGCGGACAGUGUCUGGUGGGUAGUUUGACUGGGGCGGUCUCCUCCUAAAGAGUAACGGAGGAGCACGAAGGUUGGCUAAUCCUGGUCGGACAUCAGGAGGUUAGUGCAAUGGCAUAAGCCAGCUUGACUGCGAGCGUGACGGCGCGAGCAGGUGCGAAAGCAGGUCAUAGUGAUCCGGUGGUUCUGAAUGGAAGGGCCAUCGCUCAACGGAUAAAAGGUACUCCGGGGAUAACAGGCUGAUACCGCCCAAGAGUUCAUAUCGACGGCGGUGUUUGGCACCUCGAUGUCGGCUCAUCACAUCCUGGGGCUGAAGUAGGUCCCAAGGGUAUGGCUGUUCGCCAUUUAAAGUGGUACGCGAGCUGGGUUUAGAACGUCGUGAGACAGUUCGGUCCCUAUCUGCCGUGGGCGCUGGAGAACUGAGGGGGGCUGCUCCUAGUACGAGAGGACCGGAGUGGACGCAUCACUGGUGUUCGGGUUGUCAUGCCAAUGGCACUGCCCGGUAGCUAAAUGCGGAAGAGAUAAGUGCUGAAAGCAUCUAAGCACGAAACUUGCCCCGAGAUGAGUUCU
This 1576-nucleotide ribosomal RNA is filed under the name Salmonella enterica subsp. enterica serovar Gaminara. RNAcentral describes it as "bacterial LSU rRNA". It matches the Rfam family "Bacterial large subunit ribosomal RNA", at positions 1253 to 2812 of the family's 2925-position model. The record is from RNAcentral. Lineage: Bacteria; Pseudomonadati; Pseudomonadota; Gammaproteobacteria; Enterobacterales; Enterobacteriaceae.